CCAGACUCCUACGGGAGGCAGCAGUGAGGAAUAUUGGUCAAUGGACGCAAGUCUGAACCAGCCAUGCCGCGUGCAGGAAGACGGCUCUAUGAGUUGUAAACUGCUUUUGUACGAGGGUAAACUCGGAUACGUGUAUCCGUUUGAAAGUAUCGUACGAAUAAGGAUCGGCUAACUCCGUGCCAGCAGCCGCGGUAAUACGGAGGAUGCGAGCGUUAUCCGGAUUUAUUGGGUUUAAAGGGUGCGUAGGCGGAAGGUUAAGUCAGCGGUCAAAUGUCGGUGCUCAACACCGGCCUGCCGUUGAAACUGGUCUUCUUGAGUGAGCGAGAAGUAUGCGGAAUGUGUGGUGUAGCGGUGAAAUGCAUAGAUAUCACGCAGAACUCCGAUUGCGAAGGCAGCAUACCGGCGCUCAACUGACGCUGAGGCACGAAAGCGUGGGGAUCGAACAGGAUUAGAUACCCCCGUACUC
RNAcentral lists this ribosomal RNA (466 nucleotides) under uncultured bacterium. Its description in RNAcentral is "bacterial SSU rRNA". It matches the Rfam family "Bacterial small subunit ribosomal RNA", at positions 331 to 795 of the family's 1533-position model. The record is from RNAcentral.